GCAGUGAUGACGAGGGUUACUCCGCUGUCAACGGCGAGGUCGCGGGUUCGAGUCCCGCUCCUGGCG
This 66-nucleotide transfer RNA is filed under the name Polyangium fumosum. RNAcentral describes it as "tRNA-Ser". The record is from RNAcentral. Lineage: Bacteria; Pseudomonadati; Myxococcota; Polyangiales; Polyangiaceae.